This 492-nucleotide ribosomal RNA is filed under the name uncultured bacterium. RNAcentral's name for it is "partial 16S ribosomal RNA". It matches the Rfam family "Bacterial small subunit ribosomal RNA", at positions 29 to 507 of the family's 1533-position model. The record is from RNAcentral.
AGUGAACGCUGGCGGUAGGCCUAACACAUGCAAGUCGAACGGCAGCACAGUAAGAGCUUGCUCUUACGGGUGGCGAGUGGCGGACGGGUGAGGAAUACAUCGGAAUCUACCUUUUCGUGGGGGAUAACGUAGGGAAACUUACGCUAAUACCGCAUACGACCUACGGGUGAAAGCAGGGGAUCUUCGGACCUUGCGCGAUUGAAUGAGCCGAUGUCGGAUUAGCUAGUUGGCGGGGUAAAGGCCCACCAAGGCGACGAUCCGUAGCUGGUCUGAGAGGAUGAUCAGCCACACUGGAACUGGGACACGGUCCAGGCUCCUACGGGAGGCAGCAGUGGGGAAUAUUGGACAAUGGGCGCAAGCCUGAUCCAGCCAUACCACGUGGGUGAAGAAGGCCUUCGGGUUGUAAAGCCCUUUUGUUGGGAAAGAAAAGCAGCAGGUUAAUACCCCGCUGUUCUGACGGUACCCAAAGAAUAAGCACCGGCUAACUUCGUG